RNA transcript from Ostrea edulis (European flat oyster), 5083 nucleotides. RefSeq lists it as uncharacterized. The record is from RefSeq and is a predicted model, not a curated record. Lineage: Eukaryota; Metazoa; Mollusca; Bivalvia; Ostreida; Ostreidae. The transcript is spliced from 8 exons.
AGCUGGAAGAAAUAGAGUUUCCGGCUUCUCAUGAUGACACCGUCCCUAGGAAUGUCAUUAGAUUAGUGUACCUAACGUCACUGAGUUAGUGAGGACGGAUAAAGUUAUGAAAUUAUUCAAGGGAUGGUCACUGCAAAACUGGGUUUGUUUAGUAUGGUUUGCCUCGAUGAUUCAAAAUUAUGGUUGUAGGUCGAACUGCACCAUCCCAUUAAAUAUCAGAGACAAGUGGUACUUCCGAGACGAGCCUGACUCAGUGUUACGAGUGAGAAAGAAGAGUAUAGUUUUCAAACACACUGGACAAAAAACCAUGCGCUAUAAGUGUCUGCAGGCCAAGGGGCAAACUUUUAUGUUCAGAACACGUGUUAACGAAGAUGCCGCCCAAGGCAUAGUGUGUAUAGCGUUUGUUUCUGUUGCCGACUCUGAUGCUGAUUUUAGCCUAUGGAGACUAUCUCAAAAAGGGUCGGGUCACCCUCUGAUGGCGCCUCGCUCGAUUCCGAACAUAGUAACACCUAGCAUCAACAACAUGUGCAACGGAGCUCAGACGCAAACACGGUACUUCAUUCAACGGGCAAAGAAGACAUGCCGGUUCCCACCAACCAUUCGCUUGAUGUGGCAGACGACAAUCCAGGGAGCAUGGCGUGUAUCUUUCACAAAAUACCACAUGUACUUUAUUACCACAAAUCGAACCAUGCUGCAUUUCACCUGUGACACUAGAGAUAAGGACAACUUCCUAUUAAGGAAAACUUUCCCACAAUCGAUGGGGCAAAUACCUUCAGAACAUAACAAAUUCAUAGCAUUUAGAUGAUUUCUAAUACAUGAAAAUCCUGCCGGAAUGAGUAAAUGUGAAGAAAAUAUGGAGGCGUCGUGAAGAGGUCGAUGCGGGCUUCGAUUCCAACGGUGUGGACGUAGACGAAGUGACAGGAGGACUAGCAGACGACUCAUUCUUGCGACCAACAGGCACACUUGUUGACUUGCUAACUUGUUAACUCUUCGGCACACUUGUGUAAUAUUCCGGAAAUUUAUCCAUCGACCAUCCAGGUUCUACAUUGUAAUUUUCAGUGUAAACAUCCGUAAUUUAGUCACAUGACCUAACACUAUAAAUACAGCGCAAAGCAGUUGUCGUCAGUCAGUUAUUGUCGAAGCCCAGAGUGAGAAGACGUGGUGGACAAGUUAAACAGUAAGUUGCAAGCAAUAAAGUGAUUUACUGGGUAAGCCAGUGUUUGAUUACGUACGUUGUAACGGUGUUAGAGUGGAGGCAUUGAGGCUGUCCUUUUAAUAGGCUGACCUUAGUAGUAAGAGGCCUGCCACUGUCGAGCUCAACCAGAUAAAAGCUAGCCACAUAAUUCGUCUGUCCUGUGUACUGGACUUGACUGACGACCAGGCUGUUGUUCACAGUGUCUGUCUGAAUAAGGCUCUACAGUGUGUGCUGCGGUUAAAGGGCUGUCACUUGUACUGUGUGUCCUGAAUAAGGCUGCAGUACAAGCGUUAGUCCGAGGUCAGCCAGUCGUUGGCUGAGGGUGGUCAUACCCACUGUUAAAUUAUUUUGAUAUUAUAAAUCAUUUGGUUAACCCCUGAUCUUUGUAUGUUGAUUAACUUUCCUUGAUUUCAGAGUAAUUAUUAACCUGGGUAGGGUUAGGCCAUAUUUGUAUAUAUCUGCAGGCCCAAUUUCUAAUAACAUUCCCAAUCUUAUUUUAUCAAUGAAAGUUGCUAUUCUAAUUACACCUCAAACCCUUGAAUUAUCAAGGCACGAACUUUGAUAGCCUUCUUGUGUAUAAGGAAAUACGUUACACUUGCACUCACGCUGGCAUACAGUCGAGGUGACACAGGCACAGGUGCAGACGCGAUCACAGAAGACACAGACGCGGGCAUAGAUGACACAGACGCGAUCACAAAUGACACAGACGCGGGCAAAGAAGACACAGACGCGGGCACAGUUGACACAGACACGAGCACAGAUGACACAGACGCGGGCAAAGAAGACACAGUUGACGUCGAUUGCUUUCCUGUUGCAGCUAUCGAGGAAUCCAACGUCAUUGCGCGCUCCUUCAAAACAGUUGAAAUCGCCGCACCUUCAAAACAGUUGAAAUCGCGAGGUAGUAUUCCUGAAGCGAUGAUCUUUACAUUGGGGUUUGCCUCCCAGAUGUUCUUUAGCAGGUAGCGGUAGCGGUGGAGAGUGGUGCGGGGGUCCUCAUCUGGAAUGUCGUUCGUUCCUGCAUGGAUGACAAUGGUCCGGAAACCCCUAACAAUGCCACAAAGGAGAGCCCACAUCUGCAUGCUCCACACGGAAUCCCGAUGAAAAUCGCACGGUGGAGUCGUCGUCCAGCACAUGAUGAAGGUACUUCAGCUGAGAAUCUCCCACGAAUAACACAGACAUUUUAUCACACAACACACUUUCUCAAACUAAAACACACAAUUAUAUUUAUGAUUUCACACUGAAAGAAAGCACACACUAAGCACCUUUUAAAAAAUAGAGAAUACGAAGAAUCGUAGCACUAUGGGUUUUGAGCACCAUAUACACCUGUAUGAUACAAGUAAUAUGGCAAAGUGAUGUUCAAGGAAAAUGAUCUGAUAUCUAAAUGUUUCCACCGUAUAAGUAUGAACCAAUGAAAUUUAAGAUAUAUGUGAUCAUUAAUACGCAAAUUAAUUUAUAAUUGAACAGCUUCUGGUAGCACGCUGCUUCUGUGCAAUGAAAACUGCAUAAUGAUAUUUAAUUCAGCUUGGGUAUAUUCUAACCCACCUUAAAGAUUUAAUUAUUCAGUUUAUUUCCAUUAUCCGGAAGCCGUCUUCUCAUUAGACGUAAAUGCAUUUUCCACACCUAUCGGCAUAUCAAUUAUUACUUUAAAAACAUUGACUCGAUCGCCGAUUUGGGCAUGGAAUUUUGACGAUCUCCACUCAUUCCGGCAGGUUUUUCACAUACUAAACAUGCACAGAAUUCUAAAAACUUUACAUGUUUUAAAAGAUCUUGCCUUGUAGAUUGUGGGAAAGUUAUCCGAAUAAAUCAACAUGCAAUACAUUUUGAGAUAUAUGAUUUUAUAAAACAACGACUCCCAUAUGACCUCUCCAUUUUCUCCCCAUAUUUUCUCAUUCCGGCAGGAUUUUCAAACACUUUCCAGCAAAUUAAUGCAACUGUUUUUAUAUUUUCUAAAUGGUCUUGCCCUAUGCUUUAUGGGAAAUUUUACCGAAUAAAAAAUUAACAACUAUAACAGGAUUUAUAGUAAAAUAUUUGAUACCCAUUCUUCUAUUACGGAACCAACUUUUUUCGAUCACUGCUCAUUCCGGCAAGGAUUUAUAUUAGUUGUCAUCUUAGAUUUUAAAGUUAUAUAUAUUCUGAAAGAUGUUGCCCCGUAGAUUAUGGGAUUUUUUACCGAAUAAAAAUAUGAUGAGUAUUAGCGGAGAUAUAGGUACUUUUUUGAGUACCACUACCUCCAUUCCGGCCCCAUUCCGGCUUGGCUUUAGACCUGCCCAUUUUUCGCAGCUAUUACAAUACACUAGUUCGAUUCUUAAAACGUCGGCUAUUCAAUUGAUUUGAAUUUUAAACAAAGAAAUUAUCCUGUUUUUAAAACUUUAUCGUGCUUUGCUGAAAUUAACAUUAUUCGAUGAAGAUUACCGCUUUGUAGUAUGUGUAAGGACAAGAAUGCCGAUUAGUCAGAAUUGUACACACGAACUGCGAGAUUUACAAACUAGUCGUGCGUUCUCUGUCUCACCAAAGUAGAUUCCCGCAGAGGUCUCGACAGGGAGUAUUAAUCGGUCAUAACAGACCCAUACCAUUAUCAGAUAUUUACAAUGCUUUUUCAACCUAAGAAAGCGAGAUAUUUACUUUCUUUACUAUAAAAUAUUUACUUACACUAUUUGUUUCAUGUUAAUGGAUGAACCUAUUUUUUUGUAGUUGAUAUAUUUAUACACACGCCCCAUGUUUACUAAACUUUCUGAAUGAAUUUCGAUAUACCAUUACAUGAUUUGAAUAAUUUCCUUUUAAAAAAAAUCAUAAGAUGAUGAUUGUUCACGAUACACAAGACCCUGCUCAAAAUUAAAAAAAAGAAGAAGAAAGAAUUCCUGGGUCUAGAUAAGCUAGAGAAUUCUAGUAAUAGAACUGGAAACGGAUACAUAGCUAAACUGUAAGAAGCGGGGGAAAGGCGUACUGUCAUUUAGGGGGAAUUGGGCCCAGGUUAAUUCUUCCAAGGGGGAAAUUCUAUGCCAGGCCCAUCUUUCCGGGAGGAAUGUCUAUCCCGGGCCCAUUUUUUCGGAGGGAAAGUCUAUGCGGGGGAAAAUUCUAUGCUACAACACCAGUAUUCAAAGUGUCAGCUGUAAUGGCGGCGCCUAUGAAAGUGUGUGUGUUUUGCCACUAUCAAAGAUAUAUAGAUGUAAACUCCAGAUUUGGCACCCAAAAUGGCCAAUUAUUUUAACUGAUACUUCACUUUCACAUGUGCCCCCCCCCCCUCCCUUUCGGAAAUCCUGGAUCCGCCUCUGGUAUGUUUAUUAUCAUCAUUGCUUCAAGGCAUGUGAAUAAAAUCAGUCAUGCAUGAUACAAUUUAAAAAUUAGAUGCAAAUUUGAAUUAAGAUGUGGUCUUACAAUCCCGUUCAGAUGUCAUUUUGUAAUUAGCGUAGGUGAGACUAAUAGAAUCCUUCAUUAGUACGAGUGUGAGAUAGGGAAAUUCCACCGAGGGGACAAGAUUCGCAGUCUUGGACGAGGCUUUGCCGAGUCCUAGACAGCGAAUCUUGUUCCAGAGGUGGAAUUUCCCUAUCCCACAUGAGUAAAUAAUGAAGGAUUAUUUUUCUCACAUUUUAACUACAGUUUAGUGCAUAAAAUUUGGAGCUUUCAGAAAAUUUUAGAUUAUCAAAAUCCUCAUUUGAACUUCAAUGCAAAAACUAAUUAGAUAGGUAGAAAGAUCAUACCCGAAAAUGGUUUACACUGUAAGUGUAAACUAAAAAACCCAAGGUUGUCCACCAGAAAGCUAUACUACAUUAAAAUUUAAAGAUAACAAUGCAAAAUAUUUUUACUUCACUGUGUAACGUAAAUCUUCACCGUGUAACGUAAAUCAUAGAAAAUAUAUGACGUCACAAUCAAAUGACGUCGCAGCAGUGU